RNAcentral lists this ribosomal RNA (468 nucleotides) under uncultured bacterium. RNAcentral's name for it is "partial 16S ribosomal RNA". It matches the Rfam family "Bacterial small subunit ribosomal RNA", at positions 28 to 507 of the family's 1533-position model. The record is from RNAcentral.
GACGAACGCUGGCGGCGUGCUUAACACAUGCAAGUCGAACGGAAAGGCCCUGCUUUUGUGGGGUGCUCGAGUGGCGAACGGGUGAGUAACACGUGAGUAACCUGCCCUUGACUUUGGGAUAACUUCAGGAAACUGGGGCUAAUACCGGAUAGGAGCUCCUGCUGCAUGGUGGGGGUUGGAAAGUUUCGGCGGUUGGGGAUGGACUCGCGGCUUAUCAGCUUGUUGGUGGGGUAGUGGCUUACCAAGGCUUUGACGGGUAGCCGGCCUGAGAGGGUGACCGGCCACAUUGGGACUGAGAGACGGCCCAGACUCCUACGGGAGGCAGCAGGGGGGAAUAUUGCACAAUGGGCGGAAGCCUGAUGCAGCAACGCCGCGUGCGGGAUGACGGCCUUUGGGUUGUAAACCGCUUUCGCCUGUGACGAAGCGUGAGUGACGGGAAUGGGGAAAGAAGCACCGGCUAACUACGUG